AGCAGUGUAGAGUUCUAUAUCUUGCAAGAAGUCUAGAGAUUUAUGUAUUUAGCUAUAGAGAUUUAUUGUUGGGUAGUUGAUGUUGCUGUUCUUGAUAGUCAUGGAUUGCAAAGUGCGGAGUAUAUAUUUUGUGUUUUAGAAAAAAAAAGUUUGGUCUGGAAUUGAACUCCUUUCAUCCAACCUAAACUACACCACUACAUUCUUUGUCAGCUCUUUGGUGUUAAUUUUAGGCAUGUACAUCAACAAUUUUAGGAAAUAUUUUUUAAAAAUAAAAUGGAAGUGUGUCAUUUGAUUUGUUAUUAAUUAAUUUGCAGGACUAUGGUGCAAUUUUCAUCAAAGGCCAGGAACACUAAGAAUGAUAAGACUGCAUCAGUGUUUUCCAAGAAAGGAGAGAAAUUAAAGGAAUUAAUCAAGACUGCUUGUCAGUGUGGAAGGGAUACUGCCAAAUAUCAUCCAUUCAUGAAAACAAAUUUGGGGUUGCCACUCGCUUAAAUACCUGACAAAAAUAUAUCUUUGAUGAUAAUUAGGGUUGAAUAUAAAAUCAAGAUUUACAUUAUAACGAGGAAGGAAGCAAAUUACCUGAUGCAGAAGACAUGGAAGAUAACAGUUGUGGAGAGCUUUGAACGUGGUGGCCUUUGCCUGUAGUGCUCUCGUUUAUUCUGAUUUAUUUUCCCACUGUAGAUUUAAGGGUUUGUAAUUAUUGAUUUUUGUAUAUUAAGUAUUUAUUUGGUAUUUGGGUUGUAUACAAAUUGUAUAAUGUUAAUUUCUGGUUUUCCGGCGAAA
Spinacia oleracea (spinach) is the source of this 783-nucleotide long non-coding RNA. RefSeq lists it as uncharacterized. Lineage: Eukaryota; Viridiplantae; Streptophyta; Magnoliopsida; Caryophyllales; Amaranthaceae. The record is from RefSeq and is a predicted model, not a curated record. The transcript has 3 exons.